Molecule: long non-coding RNA, 362 nt
Filed under: Dasypus novemcinctus (nine-banded armadillo)
Lineage: Eukaryota; Metazoa; Chordata; Mammalia; Cingulata; Dasypodidae
Description: lncRNA (ENSDNOG00000050995.1)
Source: RNAcentral
AGGUGACCCAUCUGAGGAACUCCCUAAUGCCAGGGCAGAUGAGGAGAACCCAUCUAACACAAAGGUAGCCUCAAGAACAAGAGAACAAGGUUCAUGUCUCAAGUAUAAAAAGAGAAAAUGUGCUACUCAAUCCAAAAAGUCUACUGCCCGCCAUUCCCAGUCUGUCAGACGUCGCAAAAUCACCAUGUGGCCAAGGAAGAGGAAGGGACAUCAAACAUCCCCAAGCAACUCUUCUUCUUUGGAAGCUCCCCUGGAAGACCUGGUGGAGGACCCUCUUCGUGACAGGGAGGAUGAAGUGGUUCCACCUAAUGUUGAGGUAAGGUCAUCUGUUUUGGUCUAAGACAGAAAUAUUCCUUUCUCUU